UGAAUAGUCAGUCAUUCUCAAUGACUUUCU
Molecule: non-coding RNA, 30 nt
Filed under: Rattus norvegicus (Norway rat)
Lineage: Eukaryota; Metazoa; Chordata; Mammalia; Rodentia; Muridae
Source: RNAcentral